Molecule: ribosomal RNA, 486 nt
Filed under: Salmonella enterica
Lineage: Bacteria; Pseudomonadati; Pseudomonadota; Gammaproteobacteria; Enterobacterales; Enterobacteriaceae
Description: bacterial SSU rRNA
Rfam family: Bacterial small subunit ribosomal RNA
Source: RNAcentral
CAGGUGCUGCAUGGCUGUCGUCAGCUCGUGUUGUGAAAUGUUGGGUUAAGUCCCGCAACGAGCGCAACCCUUAUCCUUUGUUGCCAGCGAUUAGGUCGGGAACUCAAAGGAGACUGCCAGUGAUAAACUGGAGGAAGGUGGGGAUGACGUCAAGUCAUCAUGGCCCUUACGACCAGGGCUACACACGUGCUACAAUGGCGCAUACAAAGAGAAGCGACCUCGCGAGAGCAAGCGGACCUCAUAAAGUGCGUCGUAGUCCGGAUUGGAGUCUGCAACUCGACUCCAUGAAGUCGGAAUCGCUAGUAAUCGUGGAUCAGAAUGCCACGGUGAAUACGUUCCCGGGCCUUGUACACACCGCCCGUCACACCAUGGGAGUGGGUUGCAAAAGAAGUAGGUAGCUUAACCUUCGGGAGGGCGCUUACCACUUUGUGAUUCAUGACUGGGGUGAAGUCGUAACAAGGUAACCGUAGGGGAACCUGCGGUUGG